RNAcentral lists this transfer RNA (74 nucleotides) under Methylobacterium oxalidis. RNAcentral's name for it is "tRNA-Asp". The record is from RNAcentral. Lineage: Bacteria; Pseudomonadati; Pseudomonadota; Alphaproteobacteria; Hyphomicrobiales; Methylobacteriaceae.
GCGCCCUAUUGGGGCGUGUGACGGGCUCGCGCCCUGUCGGGGCGUGUGACGGGCUCGCGCCCUGUCGGGGCGUG